CCUGUUCGAGCGUCAUUAUGACCAAUCAAGCUCUGCUUGGCCUUGGGGCCCGCUGUACCGGCGGCCCUUAAAAUCAGUGGCGGUGCAUCUGGCUCUAAGCGUAGUAAUUCUCUCGCUACAGGGUCCGGGUGGUUGCUUGCCAGAAUCCCCCACUUUUAUAGGUUGACCUCGGAUCAGGUAGGGAUACCCGCUGAACUUAA
Molecule: unclassified non-coding RNA, 200 nt
Filed under: soil metagenome
Description: partial contains internal transcribed spacer 2 and large subunit ribosomal RNA
Source: RNAcentral